CAGAAAAUAGUUUAAUUAAAAAUUUUAAUUUUGGAAAUUAAUGAUAAAUAUAUUUUUUUUUCUGA
RNAcentral lists this transfer RNA (65 nucleotides) under Stenocladius sp. FM17. RNAcentral's name for it is "tRNA-Pro". Lineage: Eukaryota; Metazoa; Arthropoda; Insecta; Coleoptera; Lampyridae. The record is from RNAcentral.